GAUGAACGCUGGCGGCGUGCCUAAUACAUGCAAGUCGAGCGAACAGAUGAGGAGCUUGCUCCUCUGACGUUAGCGGCGGACGGGUGAGUAACACGUGGAUAACCUACCUAUAAGACUGGGAUAACUUCGUGAAACCGUAGCUAAUACCGGAUAAUAUAUUGAACCGCAUGGUUCAAUAGUGAAAGACGGUUUUGCUGUCACUUAUAGAUGGAUCCGCGCCGCAUUAGCUAGUUGGUAAGGUAACGGCUUACCAAGGCAACGAUGCGUAGCCGACCUGAGAGGGUGAUCGGCCACACUGGAACUGAGACACGGUCCAGACUCCUACGGGAGGCAGCAGUAGGGAAUCUUCCGCAAUGGGCGAAAGCCUGACGGAGCAACGCCGCGUGAGUGAUGAAGGUCUUCGGAUCGUAAAACUCUGUUAUUAGGGAAGAACAAAUGUGUAAGUAACUAUGCACGUCUUGACGGUACCUAAUCAGAAAGCCACGGCUAACUACGUG
This 497-nucleotide ribosomal RNA is filed under the name uncultured bacterium. RNAcentral's name for it is "partial 16S ribosomal RNA". It matches the Rfam family "Bacterial small subunit ribosomal RNA", at positions 28 to 507 of the family's 1533-position model. The record is from RNAcentral.